Molecule: long non-coding RNA, 1055 nt
Organism: Thunnus maccoyii (southern bluefin tuna)
Lineage: Eukaryota; Metazoa; Chordata; Actinopteri; Scombriformes; Scombridae
Exons: 2
Source: RefSeq, a predicted model, not a curated record
ACAUACAGCUGCAUGCAUCACAAUCAUCCCAUAUUCGUCACUCUAACAGUUAAUUUUUAAUGAAUUCACUGUAUCUCUAGGCAGUUCCUUUCUGUCUCUGCUGAGAAUGAAGAAUUUGAUGGUACCUUUCAGGUACGUUUUUACACAGGAAGCAGAGAAGAAAUGGUCUUACAAUGUGCAUUUGACUAUAAGGCAGUAUAACAUCAUCUUAAGACAAUAACAUAAAGGUAUAAAUUUCCAUUUCAUCAGCCCUUGAUCAGAGCUUUUCGUCUGGUGCAGAGUGCAGGGGCAACCAAGGCUCUGUACCUUUCCCCCAGGAAGUAAAAGUGGUUCCCAGGUACAGGUCCCUGAGGUGCAGAAGGGCUCACUUUGCCAAAAGCCUGGAACCCGCAGCUAUAACAGCACUUAACAAGAUAACCCGCUGAUAACCCUGCUGUUGUUUGAAUGCCAUUGAAUACUGUCUGUCAUUGUUGUGUGAUGUUCAUGAUGUAUGUACUGUUGUUGGACUCACAUGGAACUGAUGUCCACCAAUGAGUACUGUCUGUUGUGUGAUGUUCUAUUAUAUGCAAUGUGGGAUAUGAAUCCUGGGGGCAAUAAACUAACUAACUAACUAUCUAUAACGAUUAGCAUCUUCUGGGGUGCACUCCAACUAUAGGCUCAUCCCCAAAAAUAAUUACAUUACACAUAGUCAGGGAAAAUGAAUGGGGAGUGGCGAGCUCUGGUACGUGUCAAAGUGCUAGUAACCUGUCAUCACACUAUCCAGUCUGACCUGGGACAUUGGAAGACUUCUGCUUUUGCUUACUGUCUGUAUUUCUUAUGUUUAAAACCAUUGUAAUGCAUUAAAUAACGUGUUCUGAAGGUCCCCUUUUACUGAAUCGUUUAAAGCGUAUUUUGGCGUUUAAAGCCAAAAGUUGACACUUAGAAGUCUCAAAGGGGCGAAUGUGGAAGAAUAUUUUGUAUACGCAUUUGAAUGUUUAUGCUUUGUGUCAAAAGAGGAUGCUUAAAAGUAACUGCAAGUAGAUGUACCAGUAUAAUUAAAAAGAAGGCUCAAGGAA